Molecule: small RNA, 28 nt
Filed under: Bombyx mori (domestic silkworm)
Lineage: Eukaryota; Metazoa; Arthropoda; Insecta; Lepidoptera; Bombycidae
Description: ovarian small RNA-9332
Source: RNAcentral
UUACCAGAUUAGACUAGCGGGUAGGUGU